CUGGAACGCGCCCCAGGCGCACCCAGAAACCCUUUGUGAACUUAUACCUUACUGUUGCCUCGGCGCACGCCGGCCCCCAGGGGCCCCUCGGAGGCGAGGAGCAGGCACGCCGGCGGCCAAGUUAACUCUUGUUUUUACACUGAAACUCUGAGAAGAAAACAAAAUGAAUCA
Molecule: unclassified non-coding RNA, 171 nt
Filed under: uncultured Diaporthales
Lineage: Eukaryota; Fungi; Ascomycota; Sordariomycetes; Diaporthales
Description: sequence contains ITS1
Source: RNAcentral